Molecule: ribosomal RNA, 225 nt
Filed under: uncultured Thorsellia sp.
Lineage: Bacteria; Pseudomonadati; Pseudomonadota; Gammaproteobacteria; Enterobacterales; Thorselliaceae
Description: partial 16S ribosomal RNA
Rfam family: Bacterial small subunit ribosomal RNA
Source: RNAcentral
UGCGCAGGCGGUUGUGUAAGACAGAUGUGAAAUCCCCGGGCUCAACCUGGGAACUGCAUUUGAAACUAUGUAGCUAGAGUUCUGUAGAGGGGGGUAGAAUUCCAGGUGUAGCGGUGAAAUGCGUAGAGAUCUGGAGGAAUACCGAUUGCGAAGGCAGCCCCCUGGACAGUGACUGACGCUCAUAUGCGAAAGCGUGGGGAUCAAACAGGAUUAGAUACCCUGGUA